UACGGAGGAUGCGAGCGUUAUCCGGAUUUAUUGGGUUUAAAGGGUGCGUAGGCGGGAUGCCAAGUCAGCGGUAAAAAUGCGGUGCUCAACGCCGUCGAGCCGUUGAAACUGGCGUUCUUGAGUGGGCGAGAAGUAUGCGGAAUGCGUGGUGUAGCGGUGAAAUGCAUAGAUAUCACGCUGAACUCCGAUUGCGAAGGCAGCAUACCGGCGCCCUACUGACGUUGAGGCCCGAAAGCGUGGGGAGCAAACAGG
Molecule: ribosomal RNA, 252 nt
Filed under: uncultured bacterium
Lineage: Bacteria
Description: partial 16S ribosomal RNA
Rfam family: Bacterial small subunit ribosomal RNA
Source: RNAcentral